Molecule: ribosomal RNA, 497 nt
Filed under: uncultured bacterium
Lineage: Bacteria
Description: partial 16S ribosomal RNA
Rfam family: Bacterial small subunit ribosomal RNA
Source: RNAcentral
UCUUCCCUCUGGCGGCGUGCCUAAUACAUGCAAGUCGAGCGAACGGACGAGAAGCUUGCUUCUCUGAUGUUAGCGGCGGACGGGUGAGUAACACGUGGAUAACCUACCUAUAAGACUGGGAUAACUUCGGGAAACCGUAGCUAAUACCGGAUAAUAUUUUGAACCGCAUGGUUCAAAAGUGAAAGACGGUCUUGCUGUCACUUAUAGAUGGAUCCGCGCUGCAUUAGCUAGUUGGUAAGGUAACGGCUUACCAAGGCAACGAUGCAUAGCCGACCUGAGAGGGUGAUCGGCCACACUGGAACUGAGACACGGUCCAGACGCCUACGGGAGGCAGCAGUAGGGAAUCUUCCGCAAUGGGCGAAAGCCUGACGGAGCAACGCCGCGUGAGUGAUGAAGGUCUUCGGAUCGUAAAACUCUGUUAUUAGGGAAGAACAUAUGUGUAAGUAACUGUGCACAUCUUGACGGUACCUAAUCAGAAAGCCACGGCUAACUACGUG